AGGUUCAAAAGAUGAGGCAUGCUUUGGAUGUGCAGUGAUUGUAGACAGCCCCCCUUGUGGAACCAUUUGCAUCCACAUAUGGAGCUAAGUCUUUGUCAAGGUGCAAUGGAUGCCUACAAUAAAUGGAAAGCAGUUCUACAGAAGGGGCAGUAAUGGCUGCUUGAUCCAGCAGUGGCUUCUGUCUGGCCCAGGAACACAGCAGGUCGAAGAAUUUAUCAUCUCUGUGAUUUAUAAUCCAGCUUCUGGAUGAAGUGGGGCUCCUAUGGUCAGUGCACAUGGGACUAGCACGCAGAAGGAUUUCCUGGAGUCUUCAACCAAGAUCAGUUUGGAAUUUAGACCCACUACUGUUAUAUCAGGGUGAGUGGAGGCAGGCUGCAGUAAAGGUUGUGCCCAUUUCCUCGUGAAUCACCUGCUGAGAUGGCCUGCUGGUCAAGAGAGCUCUUGUUGCAUAUUGGUUACUUCCCAUACUCUCCGAAGUUGAUGCUGAAGGGAUUUCUUGUGGCUUCAACUAUUUGUUGUGCUGCUUUUGGAGUAAUACCACCCAAUUUACUCUAAUUUUCUGCCCUUCAUUCUUCAGCAUGGAGGUGAUCAGAGAGAAUAAACAUCUAAGACAUCUUGUUUCUUAGUUUUCAGAACUGUAAUUUGUUGCUCUGCCAGCUGCUGAAAAUGGAAACUGUAAUA
This is a long non-coding RNA of Numida meleagris (helmeted guineafowl), 681 nucleotides long. RefSeq lists it as uncharacterized. Lineage: Eukaryota; Metazoa; Chordata; Aves; Galliformes; Numididae. The record is from RefSeq and is a predicted model, not a curated record. The transcript has 3 exons.